Molecule: ribosomal RNA, 450 nt
Filed under: uncultured Gammaproteobacteria bacterium
Lineage: Bacteria; Pseudomonadati; Pseudomonadota; Gammaproteobacteria
Description: bacterial SSU rRNA
Rfam family: Bacterial small subunit ribosomal RNA
Source: RNAcentral
GGCCUAACACAUGCAAGUCGAGCGGUAGCACAGGGAGCUUGCUCCUGGGUGACGAGCGGCGGACGGGUGAGUAAUGUCUGGGAAACUGCCUGAUGGAGGGGGAUAACUACUGGAAACGGUAGCUAAUACCGCAUAACGUCUUCGGACCAAAGAGGGGGACCUUCGGGCCUCUUGCCAUCAGAUGUGCCCAGAUGGGAUUAGCUAGUAGGUGGGGUAAUGGCUCACCUAGGCGACGAUCCCUAGCUGGUCUGAGAGGAUGACCAGCCACACUGGAACUGAGACACGGUCCAGACUCCUACGGGAGGCAGCAGUGGGGAAUAUUGCACAAUGGGCGCAAGCCUGAUGCAGCCAUGCCGCGUGUGUGAAGAAGGCCUUCGGGUUGUAAAGCACUUUCAGCGAGGAGGAAGGGUAGUGUGUUAAUAGCACAUUGCAUUGACGUUACUCGCAGAA